Molecule: ribosomal RNA, 492 nt
Filed under: uncultured bacterium
Lineage: Bacteria
Description: partial 16S ribosomal RNA
Rfam family: Bacterial small subunit ribosomal RNA
Source: RNAcentral
AGUGAACGCUGGCGGUAGGCCUAGCACAUGCAAGUCGAACGGCAGCACAGUAAGAGCUUGCUCUUACGGGUGGCGAGUGGCGGACGGGUGAGGAAUACAUCGGAAUCUACUUUUUCGUGGGGGAUAACGUAGGGAAACUUACGCUAUUACCGCAUACGACCUACGGGUGAAAGCAGGGGAUCUUCGGACCUUGCGCGAUUGAAUGAGCCGAUGUCGGAUUAGCUAGUUGGCGGGGUAAAGGCCCACCAAGGCGACGAUCCGUAGCUGGUCUGAGAGGAUGAUCAGCCACACUGGAACUGAGACACGGUCCAGACUCCUACGGGAGGCAGCAGUGGGGAAUAUUGGACAAUGGGCGCAAGCCUGAUCCAGCCAUACCGCGUGGGUGAAGAAGGCCUUCGGGUUGUAAAGCCCUUUUGUUGGGAAAGAAAAGCAGCAGGUUAAUACCCCGCUGUUCUGACGGUACCCAAAGAAUAAGCACCGGCUAACUUCGUG